GACGAACGCUGGCGGCGUGCCUAAUACAUGCAAGUCGAGCGGAAUGAUGAAGAAGCUUGCUUCUUCUGAUUUUAGCGGCGGACGGGUGAGUAACACGUGGGCAACCUACCUUGUAGAUUGGGAUAACUCCGGGAAACCGGGGCUAAUACCGAAUAAUCCAUUUUGCUUCAUGGCGAAAUGUUGAAAGGCGGCUUCGGCUGUCACUACGAGAUGGGCCCGCGGCGUAUUAGCUAGUUGGUAGGGUAAUGGCCUACCAAGGCGACGAUACGUAGCCGACCUGAGAGGGUGAUCGGCCACACUGGGACUGAGACACGGCCCAGACUCCUACGGGAGGCAG
This 337-nucleotide ribosomal RNA is filed under the name uncultured Bacillota bacterium. Its description in RNAcentral is "bacterial SSU rRNA". It matches the Rfam family "Bacterial small subunit ribosomal RNA", at positions 28 to 351 of the family's 1533-position model. The record is from RNAcentral. Lineage: Bacteria; Bacillati; Bacillota.